AACGAACGCUGGCGGCAUGCCUAACACAUGCAAGUCGAACGAGACCCUUCGGGUCUAGUGGCGCACGGGUGCGUAACGCGUGGGAAUCUGCCCUUGGGUUCGGAAUAACAGUUAGAAAUGACUGCUAAUACCGGAUGAUGACGUAAGUCCAAAGAUUUAUCGCCCAGGGAUGAGCCCGCGUAGGAUUAGCUAGUUGGUGAGGUAAA
RNAcentral lists this ribosomal RNA (206 nucleotides) under uncultured bacterium. Its description in RNAcentral is "partial 16S ribosomal RNA". It matches the Rfam family "Bacterial small subunit ribosomal RNA", at positions 29 to 261 of the family's 1533-position model. The record is from RNAcentral.